CUGCAGCUCAAGUGGUAGCCGCUAUUAUUGGGCCUAAAACGUUCGUAGCCGGUUUAGUAAAUGCUUGGGUAAAUUGUGUCGCUUAACGAUACGAAUACCGGGUAGACUGCUAAACUUGGGACCGGGAGAGGCUAGAGGUACUCCUGGGGUAGAGGUGAAAUUCUGUAAUCCUGGGGGGACCACCAGUAGCGAAGGCGUCUAGCUAGAACGGGUCUGACGGUGAGGGACGAAGCCCUGGGGCGCAAACCGGAUUAGAUACCCGAGUAGUCC
This 270-nucleotide ribosomal RNA is filed under the name uncultured archaeon. RNAcentral's name for it is "partial 16S ribosomal RNA". It matches the Rfam family "Archaeal small subunit ribosomal RNA", at positions 477 to 747 of the family's 1478-position model. The record is from RNAcentral.